GUUUAGGGUGAAGUAAGACCAAGCUCAUGAGCUUAUUAUCCUAGGUCGGAACAAAUUAGUUGAUAGUGAUAGGAUCUCCUUUUUGACGUCCCCAUGUCCCCCCGUGUGGCGGCAUGGGGAUGUCAAAAGGAAAGGGAUGGAGUUUUUCUCGCUUUUGGCGUAGCAGGCCUCCCUUUGGGAGGCCCGCGCGACGGGCUAUUAGCUCAGUGGUAGAGCACGCCCCUGAUAAUUGCGUCGUUGGAAACUCUCAGAAUAGGAAUGAAGUAUGGGAAGAAAUAAGAGCCUUAGGCCUGUGCUUGACAUGUGUUGAGCUACCCUGGUCAUCAGUGCAAGGUGAAGAUGAACAUAGUAAUAUGUGACAGUGAAGAGAAGGGAGAGAGCCAAAAAAGGAUCUUUCGUGUAUAAUCCUGCAUAAUCUCGAACCCUCCUGCUGGAUCAAAAAAGGUUGUAUUAAAGUUUCGAUCGGUUAAUAACAUUGUAAUUGCCCCUGCCAGUACCGGAAGUGAUAAUAAAAGUAGGAAUGCUGUCACUAAAACGGACCACACAAAAAGUGGUAAUCUAUGCAUAGUCAUUCCAGGUCCACGCAUGUUGAAGAUAGUAGUUAUAAAAUUGAUAGAACCUAAAACUGCAAGGCGUUGCUAUCCAUCGCAAUACCCACCCACAAGAAGUAGUGGCAAUUCUCUUCCCUUUGCUGACUAAAAGCUGUAAAUUGGGGCUUAUCGGGACCAAUGUUACGAGCUUCUGGAAUACAAUGGGAUCUUCGUAAAAUCGAUCCUUAUGAGUCUUACAAUCAAUUCGAUUGGAAAGUCCAACUUCCUCGGGGGUUGGCUUUGUAAUGGAACAUGAAAACACCUUUUUUGCUUCGCCUCUUUUCCAACCUCUUACCAACUCGGGAUGGCCUCCUCUCGGUCAAGGAUCCGACCUUCCCCUCGCUCCGGGGUUCUAUACUUUCGAUGCUUCUCUUUCGAUACGAUAGCUAUCCCCUGUUUAGUUUCUCGGCUUCCUAUCUCUUAGGAAAGACUAGCUGGAUCAGGUUAAGGGAAGGAAGCACAUCGAUAACGCGCCCUCUUCCACCUAUAGGUAGUUUGAGAGAAGUUUCUUUUGAAGUGGAUACCUCAAGACCAAAAAUAGCCCGUAAUAAUCCAGCUUCCGCGAUAUACGACGAUUCGCUCGCUAUCUGAGGCGUUAAUUUACCUACUAAAAUAUCGCCAGUUUCUACCCAGGAUCCCAACCUCACAACUCCAUUUCUGUCCAAAUUGCGGAGUAAAUGUUCUUCUAGAUGUGGUAUUUGAUCCGGGCUGUUUCCCUCUCGACGAUGAAGCUUAUCCCCCAUCGUCUCACUGGCCGACCUUGACCCCUGUUAUUUUUGGGUCAUAUCUAGUAUUCAGAGUUUGCCUCGAUUUGGUACCGCUCGCGCAGCCCUCACCGAAACAGUGCUUUACCCCUAGAUGUCCAGUCAACUGCUGCGCCUCAACGCAUUUCGGGGAUAAACAAGGAAGUGAAAUUCGGCGAUGCCCCUUUCGGGGGGCAUUCCGAUUUCGCUAGUACCAUCUUUUUUGCCGCGCAAAUCCAAACGGAUUGCUCAUAUUUAUUUACCCUACCCCAUUUCAAAGUUUGUGCCUUGUUUCAGCCCUUCCUUCAUCUUAACCUUCCAGUACUAAUCUAUCUUUAUGGGGACUCAUCUGACCUCCGAGCUACCCUGUCAAUUGUAAAAAGGAUUCGAAGCGUACCGAAGACUCGAAGGAUACUGAAGAUUUGAAGGAUACCAAAGAUUCAAAGGAUUAGGUUUUUCUAGGGUAAUAACUUCCAAGUUUCAGAAUUUAAGUGAAGAGACUUAUUUUUUACCCAUGGUUGUGAUGCUCGGCGACGAUCAUCCGUGGCACAAGAAGGUUUGUCAUCACAGGUAGAUACAUAGUAUAAGUCCAAAGUCGAUAGCUUAUCAUCCUCGACUUGUCACCAGCUCAAUUGGCCUUGUUAAGAUUGUACAAGGAGCAAAAGAAAAAAAAAAGGAGGGAAACGUGAUGAGGCAAUCAGUGUCGUGGUCCUCUUGGUUGUGUUCACUGUGUUCCUAUUGUGUCCAACUCCUCCCUCGACAACACCUACAUCCACCGGUAGUGGAGGGUUGCUCCUGCUCUGGUUCAUGUGGACUAGAACAUCAGGCGCCCUUCGGGCGCCCUACAAUGAUUUAAAGAAUAAAAGCUACUAUCAUACUGGGUAGAUAAAGACUUGUAGUUAGAUGGUAGCUAAAAUCUAAGCACAUGCAGUUACAUAUAGAGUAAUUGUUAGCAUAACCACGGCAUCAGCAUCUAAGAUGAGGCAUAUAUGCACCAACAUAAACAUAGCACAAAUUAUGAAGCAACAACAUAACCUCCAUAUCCUAAUUUUAAAAUGAAAUGAAAAAAAAUCUUAUUUCUUAUUGUGUUCCAAAUCAACUAAACAUGCAUUGAAUAUCAUGAUGCCAUGAAGCAGGUGUCAUGUGCCUCAAGCUAAAAUCAUGUUUCUUACUGUGUUCAGAAUCAAAUUAUGCAUAUAGCUAAAUAAUUCACCAAAAUAUCUAGUUUAUACUAACACAACAAUAAGUUUUUCAAUACGAAACGUGUGAUGUAGAGCAGCAGGCAUUAAUGUCGUCGUUUAGCAAUAUGCAGAUCAGCUAGGGCUAGUGCAACUCCAAUAAACCAAGGCAUCAAUGCCGUCCUUUAGCAACAAGCAGAUCAGGUGGUGCAACUUCAAGAAAUCCAAAUUCGAGACGAAUAGCCAAUUCAUAGAGCUUUUUUGCCUACAAGGGAUGCAGUGAUAUUUAUAUCAGCACAAUAGGUACUGCAAGUGUGCGACCUACAUCCUUGAAGGAAAAAUAUAACCAUAAUAAAACAAUAAAAUAAGUGAAGCAUCUAACUAUUUACCAUUGUCAGCUUAUGAUUUGUCGAAUCUAGAAGGAAAAAAAGCAUAGGAAGUCUUGCUUUACAGUAUCAUUGUCAUGUUUGUGAAUAUUCAUGUAUUUCACUAUUAAGCAAUUUUGACCGAAUAGUAAAUCGGAAUAAGUACUAUUUUUAAAAGAUGAUUACAUUGUAUAAAGCAAGACAGCACAACUUCUGUUAAUUUCAAUAGGUAAUUUUUAGCUUUAUCAUAAUAAAAUAAUUCCUACUCUAAAAUUAAGCCCACAAUUAUCAUACCCACAGAGCUUUGGAAAAAUGAAAUAAGAAAAUUGGAGACGUUGCGGGUUCAAUGCCUAGAGGACACAAGAUGCUUUGAGUGGGAUAUCAACUGAUCUUGUCAACAUUCUUCAUGAUGACUUGGGACUCAUUGAGUUUAUAAAUUUCCAGAUCCAAAAGAAUCUUUAUGGAAUCAAACACAUGGGUGAAAUCUUCAAGAACUCAGCCUUAGAAACAUAGAAAAUCAUACAUUUAACAGAUAUAUCAAUCAAUAUCAUUAUUCUAGUAUCCUAGUUCAAGUGUAAGCUUAUUUUUAUCCUUUUCAAGCUAUGGCGAUAGCGUCAGUUGCAAUUUCAGGUUUGACAUCAAUCAAGCACCUCAAAAAAAGAAGAAGAGAAAUACAGUCGUAGGACAUGGAAAAUAGUGAAUACGAUGUGUCUUGUGAGGGAUUAAAACCGAGAUUAAUCUAUCAUCGGUAGCUACGAACAAUUAAAUGAAGCUAGCUAUCUUUUGGUGGUUGUUCUAAUUUUACAUUUAUUUAGUAGUAAAUUUAUCGCAAGUCAUUUUCUUUUGGAGCCAGGUGAGUGGACUGGCUUAAAAGAUUUUAGUUGGUGAUACAUACUAAAUGAACUUUACUUGUAUAUCAUAUAUUGGUCAAGAUGGUGGGCUGAGCGCUCAGUCCAUAAAUAUUUGAUAAGCUUUUUGACUAAACUUGGCGCCUUUUCUAGAGCAUCAUGAUCAUUGCAUAGUAAUACUGUUGUGAAUUAGAUAAAUAAAGAGAAAACAGAGGUACCUGCUUGCACUGCCUCCUGACCUUGAGGUUCUGAUUCACCAUGUGACAAAUCCCCUUAAGCUCCUCCUGCAUAUAUGCCUACAUGUAUAUUUCAACAGAUAAAGAAUCCAGAUUAAAUGUCACCACCGAAUGAUCAAUCAACAGUUUCAAUUAGAAUCCAGCAAGCUAAGGUAAACAUUUAGGAAUGGACCACAUCACUCUCCUACAUUACUUUUCUUGACAUCUGAGUGCAGACUCCCUAUCCAUCAUCCGGAUGUUCCUGAAUCCAUCGGGUACCCACUACCAGUAGGUGCUCUUCAUCCUCCUCGGCGUCACCAACACUGAGCAGUAGAAGAGGUAAUCUUGAGCGCAAUGGCCUGAAGAGUCCUAUACUGCAUUAUCCUAGGUUGCAUACAAAUCCACGUGAAGGCCUCACCUUGGGGGCGAUGCCGACGGCCUGCUGUGCAGAUCGAUGAUGAGCAGCCUUGCAGGGGCAGCACCGCGUGGCCUGAUGUUGAAACGACCUAGAUUUUUCCACAAGGGGAAAAAUCCACAGAUUCGAAUUAUAAUGUGAUAAUUCAAAAAUUGAGCCACCACAUUAUCAUAUAUCAGCUGUUAUCAUAGUCAUACAUCGUGAAAAACAAGAUUACAACACAUUUACUUUACAACUCUUAGUUAACAAGCCUAUUACAUCGUUUUACUAGCGGAAACACACACGAAUCUUUUUCGGAGUCGAUGUAGCGCGUCAGCGGUGAAGGCUCCUCCUUCACGGGUAAUCAUCAGAGUCGGCGUAGUUUAUCAGCGGGCGUAGCCUUCAUCUCCGAACCAAACUUGAGCGCAGGAACGAGACCACCUAAUCCUUCUAUUAUCCGUAAUUAUCGUCAUAGACCAUGUUCAAAACCUGCUAAACAACUUUCAGUACGAUUUGUACUGGCCACUGGCUCCCACCCUAUGCUUUUGCGUAAGCUUUGUGGUAAGUGGAAUGCAAAGGGUAGAUCAAGAGUACUAUAUAUGGUUGUAGUUUUCCUAUACAAGUUCAUCAAUAUUUUAUAAUAAUUCAUCAAGUUUUAUUCCAUCUCAACCACACAUCCAUCCAUCCAUCCCAUCACACACAUCUCACCACACUCUCACUCUCUAGGCGGCAGGUACGACUCCCGCUCGUGCCUUGCCUCAACGGCCAACGCUGGAUCCAACACAAACCCAGGGGAAGGUAGAAGGGACUCCUCUCACUAGUCAAGCGAAGCGGAACAUAGGAAAGGUCCAUAGCCGAGAAGACGGCAUAUGUAUCGAUCGAUCAACCAAACUCUGCAGAGGUUUACACUAACCACAAGAUCACCAUCAUCGACGAUCCGGCUCGUCUAGGCUGAUACCGGGCUGCCUUCCAACUAAAUACGAUGCCACCCUACCACUCAGGACUGGGGCCAUACCGGAGUACCACCGGCAUGCUGAGACUGUGAGGCGUAGUACCGGGCCCCCAAAGGUCACUACGCUGUCUUAGGAGGGUGUGGGUCCUCAUGCCCGUACCUCCCUACACUAUCCGCUAUCAAUCUAGUAGUAGUGGCACCGCACUAGCUGGUCGUACAUCCGUCCCGCACCAUAAUAAGGCGAGUGGCGUGUAAGGCUUCCUACGAACCGGUUCUCAGAACAUCUCAGUCCUUAGGGUAACCGAACAGGACAUCUUCACGAGGGGCCAGCCGAUGCCCCUCUCGACGGGACACCCGGCUACCCCGUGCUAAACAGCACCUCCCAUCCCGGUGCUUCGUCCCACAAAGACACUCCACUCCGGGACCUCUCCCUGUCACAUGUACCCGCCACAGGUACCUCUCGUGGAGAACGCCCAGGUAGCGUCCCCCGGCAAGACUUGUCCCAAGACUCGUCGUAAAUCCUGCUCGGUUGACUCGACCCUCACCACACACCCAAGACACACGCCAAGAUCUCCCCAAAUCCAUUAUCAUCUCAUUAUCCAAUUAUCGGCACCACGUGCCUUAUCCACUCACAUCCAAUCUCCCACAUUGCAUCACAUCACAGAUAUAAUGCGUAGUAGAAGCAGUAGCAAGUAGUAUGCAGCAUCUAACCAAACAGCGGGUGUGCGAGGGUUAUAGGUUGCAACAAGGCAAUGGCUCACAAGCAUUUCUACCAUGCAACCUAUCUCAAUUCAUUUGCAUAAAAGUAAAGCACUAGCAUCUACAAUAUUGCAUGUCUAAUAGGAUUCUACGAGGUUGGGUGGGACGUGGCACCUGUCGAGUGACAUUUCCAAGAUCCUCAGUUCACUUGUAGUCGUUCUCAUCUGAGGUCCUUAUUCCAUCUGCAUGUCCUUCCUUCAACGGGUUCCGAUCCGAUCAACGCUAACCGAAGCAACUACCUCGAAAGCGACAAACAAGGCGAAACAAUCAAACCACUAGACCUAGAAAGAUCGUGAAAAGAGGCGACAAAACACCAAAGAACAACCACACUAAAAGAGCACCUAAAGGAUAACGACUUAGCCCUCUCGGCGGAUGUCCGAUCCCUGGGCUAAAGAAACAGAACUGGUUGUUCACUAAGUACGAGUCAGAGUUCUAGCUUAGCCAGUACUUCCCGGGUCAACUGAGUCAACCUGUACGGCUUCAAUAAAUGGCUUAGACUCUAACUCAUUCUAAGCAACCACCACAGCUUACGGUCUUUCGAUCCAAGUGUCAUAGAGGUCGACAGGAAUCGAAAAGACUAUGAGCACGAGAAGUUCCUGUCUCUCUCAAUCCAUACGCCAUUGUAGUUGGCGAGAGCCAAGAGAGGGUGGAACAAGGAGAGAAGAAAAAAGGGAGUGGUCUACUUCUUCCCAUCCACUCGCCAUGGUAAGAGACGGGGGAUUAGAAAGAGUGACACACAAAGAACAUGAGUACUCAAACCACUUGUAGGGUACCACAACCUAGGUGCACUAAAUGCACUAUGUCAUCACUAAGGUUCUUUGCGGUGCGGUUGUCACCACAAGAACCAAAGAAAUGCUACGAUCGAUAUAGGUACAAGCAUACAAGAGUUUAAGCACGAAGAACCAAAAAGGCGGGAAAGACACGUGAUUCACAUUCCUUUGAUCCGCUCGCCAUAGCAACGGCGGGAAUCACGGGAUUGGAAACAAAACAUCAAACAAGCAAAAGGGGCUUAAUCCACAUCUUACUGGAUCGACGGGAUUGAGAACAAGAGAGAAGAGAAAUGGAGUCCAUACCCUUUUCAACCAACCCGCCAUGGAACAAACGACAGUUGGAUAAAAGAGAUACGACCCCACGAUCCAAACCUACUCGUAGGGCACCAUGACUGUGCAUCUUAAUCAAUCACAAGGCUAUUCCUAAGGCCCGUAGCGAUGCGGUUGUCACCGCUAGGUCCGAGGGAAUGCUAUAGUCGAAGUGGUACGAGCAUACGAGGUGGUUAGAAUAAACACGCGAAAACAAGGUAAAGCCCGAUGGCUAUGGCGAGGCGACUCGCAGCCAUGAGCUCCGCCUAACGAGUUGGCUUUCAUAAGUCCCACGAUUGUCGUCCGCUAGUCUCCCACUAAACUAGGUCACGAGUGGCUCGCCAGGUGCGGGUAGGAGGCGCACCGACAGCAAGUCCAUGGUGACCACGCUUGUGGGUAGAAUAGGGUCGCUAUUAUUCAUAGCACUAGAGAGUCAACUAAAACGAGGGAAACACGCUAGGUUCGGCAUUACGGCCACCGUGGAACGAUCCCAUGACCGAAUGGUCGAACCCACUACGAUCCCCGACCGGCUCGAAGGCUCGGUCCACAACAACGACAAACAACACACAACCACCAGAACAACGCAUGAAGAACCUCAACACAACGACUGGCAACACGAUCGACGCAAGACAACAUGGAGUAGCACAUUUCCAUAGCACGAGAGAUAGAUAGAGAGAUUCAUAGAUAGAUAAAUAGACCGGCACGAAGGCAUGGCACAGGCAGAGAUAUAGAUAAAGAUAGAUCGUGCGGCAAGUAUAGACGAUGAUAUAGAUGACAACCAUCAAGUAUGAACGAUGAUAGAAAGAUGUACAAAAGCGAAAGGGGUUUUUCGUCGGCGUCGACUAGGGUUCGACCUUGGUGGCGAGGACGAUGCUCGAUGACGUGUUGUCGAGGCAGGGCGCCGCUGUUGCUGCUCGUGGCUAUAGCUCGUUGGAGUGGGGCGGCAUGGUGGUUUGCCUCGGCUCCGACAAGGGGAAGUGCUGCUGUUGUGCGUUCCGGUUGCGGCUUCACUGCAAUGAUGGGAAACCUCGACACAAGGGCCGGCCGUCAGACAAGCGCGGUGACACGGCUAUUAUCGGAAGGAGAAAGGGAGGAUAUUGGGUUGCUGGUGGCUCACUGAUAGCAGCACUGGCGAGGCAUGGGCGCGACGUGGUGACCGUGGCAAGGCGAUGACGUGGACGUGGACGCGUCGGGGCUCGACGUCGAGCUCGGGGUCGCGAUCACCAUGGUCGACGCUGACGCGGUGACCAUCGUGACGUCCCGGCGUGGCCGCGGCUCGGGUGCAGCGCCGUCGUGGUGGAUGGGGCCGAGUCGGUGUCGCAGCUCCAAGUCGCGGUUCGGGCUCGGCUCGGCGGUGCCUGGCGACCACGCGGCCGGCCGUGGUCGAAGCUCGACGCAGCGAGGGCAGCGUCGCGGCUCGAGACAGAGGAAGGAGCGCGGCUGUCACGGGCUCGCCACGGGUUUGGUCCGUGGCGUCGCGGUUGCGGGUGACGGCGUCGUGGUGGCUCGGCAGCGUCGGGGCAGGGGCGUCAAGGUCGCCGGGCGAGGGCGACACGGCGUUGGGGUCGCGGCGAGGUGCUGAGGACGAGGCGCUCGGGGUCGCGGCGAGGCUCGGCGGUGGUCGUUGUGGUCGCGGUCACCACGGCCGCGGCAUGGACGGAGACGGAGGCGUCGCGGGUGACAUCGCAGGGUGGACGCGGCCACAGCGAGGUCCAAGACGCGGGCGCCGGUCGUGGAGGAGAAGGGGGAAAGGGCGGCGGUGCUGGGUGGAGGGAGCAGGCGGCGGCGGCUCGGCUUUUAUAGCGCGGUGCCCUAGGGUUUCCAUCACGAACGGCGGAUGGCCUCGGCGUCCGUACCCUUGUCCACGCGUCGAGCAUCCGCAAGGAGGGGCAGGUGGGGCGCUGACGUCGAGGUUGGGCGCGGGCGCGCGGCUCUCCCUUGGGCGACGGCGGCGGCGGCUCUGGGGCUCAGGGGCGCGCUAGGGUUAGGCGCUGGGGCGCUGGCUGCUGGGCCGGCCACGACCUGGGCUAGAGCAAGGAGGGGCGGAUGGGCCACGAUGCAGUCUGGAGUGGUGCUGGGUCGCUGGGCCUGAAGUGCUGCUUCGCGCGCGUGGGCCGAGCGGGGCGCGUGCGCGGCUGGGCCAAGGAGGGGAGGCAGAGAGCUGGCUGGGCUGGAGGAAAGAGAGCUGGCCGGCUAGGCCAGGAGAAGGAGUGGGAGGAAGGGGAAAGGUUUAGGCCCAAAAGAGAAAGAAUGCUUUCCUAAUUAUGACAAGGGAUUUUGAGAAGGGUAUUUUGGGAAUAGAUAUCAAGGGGUUUUAGGUGAAGAGAGAUUGGGAUGAGUUCAAAGAGGAUCAAAAGGAGUUUGAGACGUACUCCAACGAAAGUUUGAGAAAGGAUUCGCUUCGCCUUUUGAGAUAGGCUCAACAGAGGUUCACAAAGAUUUGCUAUGGAUUUGUGCACUCUAAACCCUAAUUAAGACUCAACUCCAAAUCGACUCAUGAACAAAAGCACUCGCCUACAAACAAAUCUACAUGUAUGCCACGAUUUGUUAGCGGGUUAGGAUCGAGUUUAACCUAAAAACUAUAUGGUUCACACGAUUACAUGAAAAAUUUUAAAAAGCUCAUAUUUUUGUUUUACGUAAAAUUCUGGGAUGUUACAGAUGUGUGGAUCAAUAACGGAGACCCUUGCUAUGGGUGGUGUUGGUAGCAUGGAGAAGCAGGGGGAUGCGGUCAGCAGCUUAUGAAACUCGUCAACACCGAAGGCCUGGAGGAGAAUCAAGGACGGUGAUGCCUGGGGAAGAAUGCGUCUGUGCAGCCUAGAUACUGCUAGAUCUGGUGUGAUGCUACAGCCGUCCUCUCCACCGAUUUGGUGUCUUGCAUCUUGGAUCUGGUCGUGGAUCCUCGGAGCUAAUGGCACCUCCAAUCCAUGGAUCCAUUGGAGGUUAGUUCUCCAUGGGAUGCCACCGUGCUCCAGCUCGCCGGCAGCACCCGCACCACCUCUCAGUCUCCCAGCAACAGAGAGGGGAACGGAGACAGUAGGGAAAGAGAUAGAGCGGAGGUGGGGGAGAUGAGUUUUCGAAAGCUAGGUGGAGGAACACCAUGGAAGAGGUGGAGGAGCGGCGGCGGCGAGCGGGGAGGCACGCCCAGUGAUACGCGAGCUGCAUCGACGCCUGGGAGAGGAGAGAGAGGAAUCAGGAGGAGGUUAGGGUUCGGGUCAGGUGGGGGGCUCUCUGCAAAAUGUCACCUUUUAGGUGUGAUUUAGUGGACUGCGGGUUAGUUUGCAAAGAACUGAAAGGCUUUUCUGUAAGAUAGGCAGAAACACGCGUCGGCACAUGGAGGAGCCACCAAUGCUCCAAACGCUGUGGUGCAAGCAAAAUGGAGUGGGUUUUAAUCAACCCUGAUGACGACGUGCAGAAGAAGAGAGAGGUGGUAUGUGGUAGAGAGAUGUAUCAGGAAAGUGUAAUGGUGUACAAUGGGCAAAAUCCUUGGGUUCCCCAAGGCCAUUUUCUUAUAGCUGGUGGCGGCGGGCGGCGGCGUGGGCAUGCAGCGGCGGUCGUCCCUGUUGGAUGGCGAGCUGGGACACAUGGCUACAAUCUGGUUGUCCUCAUAAUGCCUCCAGCCGGUCAUGGGGUGGGUGUCACGGAGCCUUGACGUCGCUGAUAGACCAGAGGGUACAAAGAGCAACAUAGUAGGAGAGCGGGGGCUGCACCCGUCACGCCAACUCAUGUGAGAGUAUAAAUCAGACUUGCCUAGUGGCCACCCCUCGUUUUCACUCGCCUUGCAUAACAUUGUUGGAUGAACAUAGAUGAAUUUGAAUGGCACAUUCCUUCCGUUCUGUGGAGUCUUGAUCUCCCGAAGAUAUCUUCAUGUUUCCUCCCAAAGACAGAGACUAGAGUAUCACUCUUGAUCUCCUAUACGGAGCCCCUCCGAAGACGUCAUCGCAAUGACGCCAACUCACCAUUCCGGAAGCCCUUCAUAGUUGGUCUUUAGAGUUUUCUUGCAAAAAAUAGCAGUUUGGCUCUCGCCGCAAGCUGUUCGGUCGGCACACAUGCAUGCAACAAGCUAUAAUACGGUCUAUUAUAACACGCCACUUUAUUUGCUAGUUGUACUCCUACAUAACAUGCAUACAACAUAAAAGAUAGUGGCUUAAGCCCGGCGCCGACGAUACAUAGAGAGAAAAGAGAAAAGGUAUAGUGUCCUCAAAGCGGGUCCCUGAAACUGAAAGUGUGAUUUGCGUAGAUGUUUCCAUUUGAUAAUACAGUGCUAGCGAAGAUGAUCGCAACAAUAAAUGAGCUCCCAUCCCAUCAGUCCUGACUCCAUGUCCAUCAGUUGGAAAACAAAGAAAAAAUAAAUACACAAAAAGAUGAUGUCUCAUUCGAAUUAAGAAAACACAAACUGUGCAGCCCAAUAGCUAGGUGCAAGCGUGCAACUCCUCAGAAUUUUCUAUUCCUAUAAUAUAACUAUAAUUCUUUCUUUUCCUUCCGUCGGUGCUGUUGUACUCUCUCCAAAGCGAACCGCAACAAUCACGACAACAUUUUACACGGUAGUAGUAGGUCCUUGACUUUUAUAUCUACUUUUUAAAUUCCUCUAUAUAUCUAUACGUACACGACAAUAAUUUACAAUCACAAGCAAGCCUUUCAUCGAAACUUCUAACAAAGUUUAAAAUUAAAUAAAAAAAACCCAAAUCCUUUCACCAACGACGAUCCUUCACCAACCAGACUGAACGAGCUUGACUAGUUGAGGCCGAAGUAGUCGCUCAUGGAGAGCAGGUCGCAGAAGCCGGCCGUCUGCAACUGAUCAUCGAUGCCGUCGUCGAAGUUCUCCUGGAACUCCCAGCAGCUGGCGCCGCUGUCACCGAACCCGUGCAGGGACGACACAUCGACACCGGAUGGCCCAUCCACCUGCUGCACGGACCCCUGGCUCAUCACCUGAUGCUGCUGAUCGCGAUCCACGCCCGCAGCGGCAGCAGCGCCCAGACCAGGUGCUGCCACGGCAGGAGGCGGGCCACCACCACCACCACCACCACCACAGCCCAUGUAGUAGUCCGUGUCCAGCCAGUCCGCGAACAUGACCUUGGGCGCUGCCACGAGCGCGUGGGGCCUGCAGGCGGCGGGCGGGUCCGUCAGGCAGCUCGAGUCGGCCGACGACGACUCGCGCGGCUCCGACGAGCCGGAGUCCGCCGGCGCCUCCUGCGCCGCGCCGCCGUCCCCGGGCUUGACGCAAUGCGAGUCGUCUGAAUCAGUGCCCGAAUCGGUGGCUGCCGCCGGCGCAGGCGUGCUCGGUCGUCCCUCCUUGCCCUCCACCCUCUUCUUGAGGUACGAGUUCCAGUGGUUCUUGACCUCGUUGUCGGUCCUGCCAGGCAAGUGCCGUGCGAUCCUAGACCACCUGCAGCACAAAAUCGGCGUCAAUAAACCAUGCCGCUAGCUAUACUAGCUCCGUUGGACUUGUGGGGGGGAAAAAGUGUCGCAUGUCACGCACGCACGCUAGCCUUGCGGUUCACCCAAGCUCCUCCCCGUUUCUGUCGGUGGGGUUAGUGGAAACCCCAACCUUUUGCAAUACGAGCUGAGGUUUCCUCCGGCCUUUUUCCCCGUGUGUGCCGAUGGCUAAAGAAAAAAUGUGUCGCUCGGUCGAAAGUGACAAGCGUGUACGUAGUCUAUUCACGUGGGGCCACCCUACGGGGCCUUUGAUUUUUUUGGGUGGGCAUAAUUGCGAAGGCCCCCGAUAAAGAAUCUCAUCUUCUCGUGAGCCAACUAGCUGUGCUACGUGCCAGUUCGGAUUUGUCAAAGCAGCUGUUCUUCAUUAACUCGCAGGGCGACACGGAUUGGUCCAAGUAGUCGACGGCAUGUUAUCGGAUCAUCCCUGUGUGCUUGUGCUACACUACAUAUAUUGAAAGGACGACUGUUGUUGCUAAUCCGAUUCCCUGUACAAUGGCCCAAAAACGAUACUAUACUACGGAGUACUGUACAGAAAAUAAAAAAAAAAAGAGAGGGCAAAAUGGCUUUGAGAUAACUUGUUGCCGGACGCAACUCUACUGUAUCUGUAUGGCAUUUAGCGUUUCUAUAAGCUCUCAUUAUUUAGCCGGCCCAACUUGUCCCUGUUGCGCCACUAAAGCAGGUCCACACCUUUUUUCCAUCCAGUAAUAAUAAUAAACAAAUAUAUAUACAUAUUGCGCCAAAGGGGGGGAAAAACAUUCUAAUCAUCGCAACGUGCCCUCGGAGCGGGGGGUGAAAAAAAAAAUCUCCUCCGAAAUUCGAAUGUGCAGCGUCGUGGAGCGUGCACGUCAGCAUCGACGACUCCACUACGGAAAAGGUCUCGGCGGCCAUCGUCACCGGUUUCCCUUUCGAUAAUACUACUCCCCCGCGUUUUUUUCCGAUCGGUUCUGCGUGUUCCAGAAGCGGCCGCCAGCUCGGCGCUGCCUGCCGUGCCGAGCAGCGGAGCGGAGCAGGGACGGGGACAAAUGCAAGGAUAGGGAUAGCAGCGGCUACGUAGCAUAGCAGCAGUGUGGAGAAAAUUAUGGCAGCAAAAGCGAGAGGGCAGGCAGGGCAACGUGGAGAACUGUGUGUCGUCUCAAUCAUUUGCGAACAAGGACUAGACCGACGGUGUCAAGCAGCAGUACUGUGCGCGGUUGGGAUAUGGUGGUGCUUACUUGUUGCCGAGCGUGGCGUGGAGGCUCAUCACCGUCUCCUCCUCCUCCGGCGAGAACGUGCCGUGCUUCAGGCCCGGCCGGAGGUAGUUGAUCCACCGCAGCCUGCAGCUCUUGCCGUUCCGGUGCAGCCCUGCAUGCCGACGCCACAGACAGAAUUCCGCAAUUUAAUUCUCAGACCAAUGCAUGCACAUUUGUUUAUAUGAUCAGAUGAAAUUAAACUACUGCUCAUGCUCAAAAACAAAAUUAAACUACUUGCGUGCGACGAAACGUAACGGCCAGUCAGGACUCGAGAGUGAGCCGGCCAGAGGAAUUCAUUUAUAUUAAAAUUAAAAAAAAAACAGCAGGAGCGCUCCUUAGUCCUGAAUGAUGUUCAUUUUAACAGAAGAAUUCCUUCAGGUAACAGCACGGCUAUGUUCUCGCCCUCAGAAAUUGGCAAUUGGCACUGGUGGGGUUCUGAAUUUCGGACGCAAUGCACCCGAACCACCUCAAUUCCGCUCCUCCCACACUCGACAGGAAUGCAGACGCACGCGGCGGCGGCGAAUCGUUGGUCGGUCUUACCGGCUUUGGCGGGGAGCGCGCUCCAGCAGCCGUGGCCGUGGAGGAGGAUGUAGUCCCGGAGCUUCUGGUCCUCCUCCGGCGACCACAGGCCCUUGCGGUAGUUGGGCUUGGGCUUGUCGCACGCCUUGCACCCCAUUGCCGGAGAAUGCCGCGCGCCGCCGCGAGCUCGAUCGCCGAGCAGGGGGGAGGCAGGCAGCGGGUGAGCAGAGCAGGAGGAGAUCAGCUACAGGAGGGGGAGGAGGGCUUCGGCUACACGCCUUUAGAAUGGAGCGCUAUGGGUCUCUCUCCUCAACAGGGCGCGCAGUUGGUAGGACUUUUUAUAGGCACAAACGGUGCCGCAAGCUUCCCUCCGCUUCUUUCUCUUUGAGUCUUUGGCUGCGAGAUAAACAAGCGGCGCUGUCAUCACACCAAAAAAUUUCCUGACGCUUAUUUGUUGAAUUAUGGAAAAAAACAUGGAGACUUUUUGAAGACAUUUAUAAUGACUUGAUUAGCGUUCUGAAAUUCUGCAUCGAUCUGGGGUUCAGUAUUCAUUCACAGUGAGGCAGUGAGCCUUCAGCCAGGGUGCGAUGCAAGGCCUUGGAAUUAGUCACGGAGAUGGCGGUGAGUGGCACGCGAGGCAAGCACCGAGCAGAGAGCUGGGUCAACUGCUCAAGUGACCCGCCGCGAUUUAACCCAGGCAAAGCUGUGACCUGAUAGCCUGAAGGGCAGAACAAGAAAGCACUGCUGCUACUACACUCAACAAUAGCGCUGGAAACUAUGGGCGACGUGGCCCAGCAACUCGAGACGAGACGCGCCCGGCCGGGAGAGCCUGUGAGGCUGUGACGAUGACGAACGCGACCCUAGAGCGAGGCUGUCACUUUCCUGGGCAAUUUUUUUCUCCGAUUCCAUACUGAACGUGGGUCGCUUUCUACAUUACUGGCACCUACUACUCGUUAUUAUCAAAACGGUAAAAUCAGCAUCCACCGCAGAUGAUCAGACAGACACCUGUAAGGCUGUAGCUAGCCUCCUCGAACCCUAGAUUGUUCUUGACGCCCUUUUGCAUUUCGCCCCGCAAUUGCUCCCAAAGUGUGCAGCGGGGGUCUGUCUAUGUAAAAAAAGAAGAAGAAGAAGAAGAAGAAUUGUUUAUCUGCCUUUGCCCGUCGUCCCUUUUCUUUACGGCAGAAAGGGACUUGCUUCAAAUAGAAGCCAAGAAUGUGUAUAGCAGGAGCUGGACACACAGCUUAGCCAGAAGCCAGGCCAAGAGCCAGGACUCACUCACUCACUCACACACACAGCCGUGACACGGCACGGAGUCAGUCCUUUGCCCUGCAUUCAACGCGGGCGAGCACCAAGUCCAAAAGAAGGCGCAAUUUCCAGUCCCGCCUGGGGUUACGCCCUCUAAAUUUUCAACGCUUUUUGCAGUUGCUUGACAGAUGACAGGUAAUCUCGCCGGCCCGUGGCUGAAAAUUAAACUCGGCUUCAAAUCGGACCGUUGGGCGCGCUCCCCCUCUCCUUCCGCUGGCCCAACUCCUGCGCCGGCGUCGGUGUACCACGCUGGUGCGCUCCACCCCCAUUAAGCGGCGGCGCCCAAGUCCUCGGCGCCCGGUCCGUGUUUAGGUGGGGGGCAAGCGGAACCGCCGACGCGCGCACGGGCGCGCGGAGCCGUACGCCGACCGGAACGUGUUCGCACGCACCUGCCGCGCGCACCACAUGUAGUACUACCCAAAGCCAAAGCGGGCGCGAAGCGUCCACCAGAUCACGUACCGACGACGCGCGGGCGGGCGGCUGGUCAAUGCACGCAUGGGAUGGGAACGUAGUGGGGGAGACCGAUCGAUGGCCCGCCCGCCCGCCCGGACUCCAGCUAGCUAGCCGCCUAGCCCUGGCGAGCCGCGGACGGCCAGGUGCCAGGGGGGGUCGCACACCAACUCGGCGCGGCGGCGUCCGUUCCCAGCCGGUGCUGUCACCAAACUCGCUGGCGGUCCGUGUCGUGUCGCGGUGCGCAUGCGUGUGCGAUGUUUCGAUUUGUCUGGGCUGCUGGUGCUGCUUGGCUGUCAGCAGUUAGGAAAAGGGUGGAGUAUCUGCUCGCGCUGUCCGGCAGGUCUCUGCCCGUCUGGGGUCCAAAACAAAUGGGGGAUGCGGUGUACGUGGCCGUCGCCCAUCCGCGGCCGCAUGGGGCUGCGCAGCUCGUCAAAUAGAAAAGUGCGGCAAUCGAAGGUCCUGCUCCUGCAAUGUUUGUAUACUACAUUGAUAAAUACCUUUUGACAUGAUCGACGACGACCAUAUGCAUUGCAAUCGAAGGUCAAUAAGUUUCAUUAUUUCUUCUGGUGAUGAAACAGGGCUCAUCAUCAGUAAGCUGAUGAGAUUCGAUCAACUCUAGGGGUUACACGUGACAAACUAAGCCGUGGUCUCUUCCAAGUGUCCCAAUUGCAUAUGCCAUCGAUCCAAGUGCAUAAAAGAAGAUCGAUCAGCGGAGAUAUGUUUAUGCUAUACUAUAUGUUUUCCCGUCGGGCUAAUAAAGGGCAGUUGUAAAGACGUGCGCGCGGUGCAUCCGCUAUGGUCAUGGUGCGAUCGAGCCGUGACGUAACGAUAUAUGCAUGCAUGGGCAUGGCCAUGAAAGUUUGAGAUCACUGACCUCGCAGAUCAAUACGUUUAUUAUUUCCUUUGUGGACUGGCGUGGCGGUGACAGUUCACACAUGUCUGUGACCUCGUCGAUACCACAACGAUCUCCUACCAGCGGAGCCUUGCAGUUGCUACGGCUCUUGGCUACCUCAAGUCACGAUGUGGCUGGUUUUGGGGCUCGGGCAUGGGGGUUGUCUGCCAAGAUCCUUGACCGUGGGCGACAAUGGUGUCGUCUUGGCAUUACGUCCCUCAUUGCGGGCAUUCUUGUGAGCCUCUUUUUUCUCUGUGAGUUUGAUUGAAAAACUGUGGUUCUCCUGUUAGUGUUGAAUACAUCUGUGAAUAUUGUUCUCCGUUUGGAGGCAUUGUUCUGGAAAACAUAUUGCCUCCUCCUAGUUUACUUUGCUUGUUCUAUGUGGCAUCCAACGGUUGCUUCUGAGAUUACUUAUGUGUGGUGGUGGUCUUGCUAUUGCCUCCUUCAUGAGUUUUUUUUUAAAAAAAUAUUUUGUUAUUGUAAAACUCUUUUUCUUCUCUAUUAAUAUAUACUUAGCAUGCUCUUAUCCGCUGGUUCUUCAGAAAAAAAAAUUAUUUCUUUUGGCGUUGAAUUAGCCAAAUCAGGGCUCAUCAGUAGCCUGAUGAGAUUCAGCUCUACGGGUUACACGUACGUGACAGACUAAGCCCUGGUCUCUUCCAAUCCAAGAGUUCCAAUCGCAUGCGUCCAAGUGUACCGUAAGAAGAUCAGCGGAGAUAUGCUAGCUUAUGCUAUUUAUUUAAAAUAAUUUCCCGUACGUUGUCGGGCUAAUAAGGGCCGUUGUUGUGAAGACGCGCGCGCCGUGCAUCCACCAUGGUCAUCGUGCGCGCCGUGACGUAACAAUAUUCACGCAUGGGCGUGGCCAUGAAAGUUUGAGAUCGCGAACAUGCUAGCAUUGGGGAGGAUGUAUGGAGAGGUCGUGCCAUGGUGAUGAUGUAUAGGCUGCACUGUCAGCGCGCAGCAGGCAGCGUGGCCCCGCCCAUGCAUUGGAUUUUUCUACUUGAUGGAACGCGCAACAACGCCCUGCAUCGUUUUCUAGGGCCUAACGCUUUCCGAGGAAGAUUCCCGUCGUGCUCCAUCCAAUGUUAACUGUACGUAGCACGUCGUAUCGCCACCACGCGGACAUAUGUGCUGAUGACAUGGUUGAAAUUGUACUACUGCUAUGUGCUGGAGUAUAGUAUGUAUAGUCAGUCCGAUAGCAGUUGUCCAAUUGUAUCUUAUCUUCGCAAACCAAAUGAGACACAAAAUAUCUCAGUAGUAGCUGCGGAAACUAGAGUAUAAUAGGCCAUGCUUAAUUAAUUAGUCUUACCAAUGACACAUGUCAACCACUCAAACAUGUUCCAAACUAUCACUGGCAGUAUAGGGUAAAUAAUGGAAGCACAGCAGCUAAUGCUAUUAGUUCCCCCCACAUGCAGAGUUAAAUUAAACAGUGUAUAUAUUAUAAUACUAUAUCACUUUAAUUUUUAUAUAUGACCACUACCAUCCACUGUCGACUGCAAACAACAUAUACAGAUACAGUAGUCGCCGCAACUAAUGCAUGAUUGCUCCUGGAAACAAAGCCCAUGCCCCCCUAUAUAGAACUUCAGCCAUGAUUGCUAGUUUACGAUGGCAUACAAAAGUGGCCUCUCAGGAUUCAAGUGUAGUAAUAAUGGGGCUAAUAACCUUUCUUCGUUUGUUUUUCUUUAGCUAAAAAACAACUGCACAAAGAGCUCGAUCGUUACAGUGUUUGAAAGAUGCUGCUACAGGCAGCUAGCUAGCUAGGGAGCCAGGGAGGACGGUACUUGCAGCCAAUGGUACAAGUACAAGAAGCUUCCUUAUCAUCAUUUCUGAACUGCCACUUCUCGUACUUAAAUCCAGGUUGGCUGUGCACUUAUUAUUAUUAUUACCAAAAUAGUCCAAUACCGUCUGUACAAAAGUUUCGGCUUCCCUUUUAUUCCCCAUACAGAUCUCUCUACCUAUAAACAUGGCGGAAUAGUAUUAUAUAAGGCCACGCUAGUUAUUUGGAACAUAGGAAUUUUAUAAGAAUUGUGUAGAAAUUUCAAAGGAUUCAGUUUAUUUUCACAUUUAACACGAAAAAAAGGAAAAAAAAUCCAGCAAUCCAAAGGGGCCCUUAAUCUAUCGAAUUCCUAGUUGUUAGACAAGGAAGCAAUGAUGGGUCUAGACUAAAACAGCAUGGACAUCUAUUCAGAUCUCCCCUUACUCCCUUCACUUGCCUCCUCCACCGAGGGAGGGGAUUGGGGGAAGGGGGCCAAAAGCCCCAUAAGCUAAUGAAAUUUUCAUCAUUAAAAUAUUAGAAAUUUUGAUAAAAUUUGUAUUGUUGGUCCAUCUUAUAACAUAAAAUUCUACCGCUACCACUUGGCUCAUGCUACCACCAUGGUUAAAGUCGCAACCCAUUACCAUGGCUAGCUUAAUCACUUUGACCAUGACGUUCCUAUCGCAAUCUCUGAUUAACCAUUUUCCACCAUACUAUCACAUAAGAAGUUUUUUAGAGAAGACCAAAAUCAAGUUUUAGGAUCAUUUUUUAAAACCAUUACUACAACAAUUGUAGAAAUGAGAUGACAUUACUACACCAAUGUCUUAAGAGAACUAUUCUUGAAAAUCAAAGGCAGUUUCUUGAAAAUCGAAGCUAUUCUAGCACUAGCACAACUAAGCUAUGCAAGCCACCUACACAAGUCUAGCAAGAAGGCUAAACACUAAGUAACAACAACAAGGCACAACAAAGGCUAGCUACACUCCUAAACAAGAACUAAUCUACACAAGCUAAACAACUAGCAAGGUAAACAAGAAAGUAAAGGAGUGGGGAGUGAUUGUUAUACCGACGUUGUAGUGUAGAGAUAUAUCCAAUCAAUCACUCACAAUCACAAUAACAAUAGAUAAUCCUUGGCAAGAGAUGACACAAGAUUUUUUACCAAGGUUCACUUGCUUCUCGACAAGCUAGUCCUCGUUGUGGUGAUACACCCACUUGAUGGAUCACGAGCUAAUUGGCAAUCCAAAGCCAAACCCUUAGCGGGUGCCGCACAUCCACUCACAAGAUGGGGAUCCUCCAAGCCACGAGCAAUCCACUAGAAUAACCAAUUGCAAUCUCCCGCGGGAAAGGCUCAAGAACCCCUCACAAAUCACUUGGUGAGGCUCGAAACAAUCUCCAAUCACGAGCUCAACACCACCGCUGCUCCAAGCCGUCUAGGGUGUCGGGAAACACCCAAGAGUAACAAAAAAUCCGCAGCAAAAUCAAGAAUCAAGUGCCACUAGAUGCAACUCUCAAUACAAUGCACUUGAAUCUCACUCAAUCUCACUAGGAUUAGCAAUCAAGCAAGGAGAUGAGUGGAGGGAGUGUUCUCUAGCUCAAUGUAUACCUCAAGUAAUCAAAUGUGCAAGAGAGAACCUCCUAAAGCCGGCCACCUCAUAUUUAUAAGCCCCUCAAAGGGAUAGAGCCGUUGGCUGUCAUUGGGCAAAUCUCGGGGGCACCGGACGCUCAGCAGGGAGCCACCAGACGCUCGAUCCCCUACAUCCGGUGCUGUGAAGUUAGCCACGUGUCCACCUUUGAAUCUCGCGUGUCAAACUCUAACGGUCACUUGCGGACCACCAGACGCGACCAAGUGAGCACCGGACACGUCCGGUACUCACUGGUCUCGUACGCAGAGAGUUUGUCAAACUCAAGAUCUCACCGGUCCAAUGCUCACCAGACUCGUGCGCAGAGAGGUCUGCAAAACAUCCGCACACCGGACUCACACCACCGGACGCACCCAGAGCGUCCAGUGCUCUCAGCCAGAAACCCCCUGCUGAGGUCAGGCCACACCGAACGCAUAAACAGGGAACACCCUGUGUCCGGUGCAGUGCGUCCGGUGCUUAACCCUAGCACAACUAGGCAGUGACUGCACACCGGACGCUAAGGUCAGCGUCCGGUGCCUCCGCGCACUGCGUCCGGUGAGUGUCCCGCGACUUCUCCAAAUUUCCCAUCGGUGCAAUAAAAAAUAUGCACUUAAUUUUCUUAAAAGCGCUGAAUCCCGCCACACAAGCUCGGCGGGAGGGAGAGAGGAACCCAAACCCCUCUCAACCCUAGGAACUCCACCUCUUUUGCAAAUGUGCUAACACCAACAAGUGUUCGCCACCAAAGUGCAUGUGUGCUAGCUUUUCACAAUCAUUUUCAUCAAAGGAGUUAAAUUAGCACUUUACUAGAUCCUAAUGCAUAUGCUCAAGAUAUGGACCUAGUAGCACUUGAUUAGAGAGAUGACCAUGAUUUCCCCUCUUGAUAGUCGGCUAUCUAUCCUAAAUCCGGUCAAUCACUUCUCUACUCAACUUAGACCGGCAAAAGCAAAACCCUAUGUUUAUACCUUUGCCUUGAUCGUUUUACUCCUUGUCUAUCACCAUGAUCUCCACUUCAUGUUUCAUCUCUUUGUAAUCAUAUGGUCACCUUUCCAUGCCACCUUGCACCUUCAUCACAUGUGUUGCUAUGCCUAACUCAAAUCACUUAAACACAAGACAUUAACAAUUUGGUGUCAUUAAUUACCAAAACUAAACUUGAGCUUUCAGGUGGGUCUUAUUAGGUAAAGGGAUUGAUCUGCUGGGGAAGGUAGCUGUGCUAUCGGGGGAGGCCUCACUGAGGGGACCCCACUAGGGGAGGGCCUCGUUGGGAACAAGGCCAGCGUGUGGUGACCGGGCGGGAGCGAUUCCAUGACCAUGGGAGAGAGAAAACGACCACAACCAUCAUAUUUAACUAGCCACUGUUGCCCGCGCUUCGCUGCGGGUGAUGUGCUUGGUAUAGGAAAUCUCAGAAAAUAUGGCAAGGGAAGAUCAUAUGUCUAAUAUGUUUUCUCGUUGCGUUGUUACGAAAGGUUGAUUCUAUUUUGUAUAUUAAAUGUUGGGAGAAUAUGUGAAGGAAAGGUAACAUGUCUUUUUUAUUACAGUGUUGUGAAGAACACAAAGGUUGGUUGUCAUUAGAUGAUGCUUAUUCUAAGCCAGCAAAUCAAAGCCACAUUAGUGUAAAGAAAUGUUCAAUGGAUGAGUCGUUAGGCUCAAGCAACUAACACACGUACAGUUACGAUUGGGUCUCUCGAGCAUAUCUAAAGGGACAAAUUUAGCACGUAUACACAUAUUUGGUAUUCUAGAGCUAAGUUUUUUUUUCCUUAAAAAGGCUGUAGAUGUAAGACUUUUUUUUGAACAACUCUAGACGUAAGAUUGUACACUGCUGGGCUGGCAGCAUCAUACUGAUCAAAGUAGCCCACAAACGGACGCGCCUUAUACCCAUCCGGCCCACCAGCAACUCGCGAAGGCCCAGCGCGUUAGCGUAUAUCACAUAAUCCCACCGCAUCCUUCUCAAUCAAACAAAAAAAACACAGUAUCCCCAAUUCCCCACUAUUGGUAGUCCCAUCGUCGACCUCCCUUCUCCGACACUGCUUUACUUACACCGAAGCGCCGCUGCUCGUCCACCGGGAACCCUAGCCGCACUCGGUUCCGAUGGUCCUCCAUCUGGCCUCGACCUGCACCGGCAUCGCCUAGGCCUCGGCCUUGGCCGCGCGCCCACAACCCCACUGGCAGUCCGUCCGGCGCACGACCUGCAGCGGCACGACAGCACCCCUGCGCGGCGGCAUUGCUGGCGCCCUACCUCCCCUACCCCGAAGGUGAGGUCGCCAUGACUGGCGUGGUGGUUCCGCACGAAGGUGAGAACCGGCUGCUGUGGCUAGGCACUGAGGAUAGGGUUGGCGGUGGCGUGACGCACGGAGGCUAAGGCCAAGCCCACGCUCAUCACCCUCGCCACCUCUCGCUAGUGCUCAUGUAAGUUUCUAGUUCUUUUCCCCAAAUACAAGAACGCUAGCCAAACCAUUUGUUUGCAUCCCUCAGAUUUAUAGGCACGCGCUAAUUGUUGUUAUUAUAUAGUUGCUUAUUCAAUAUGCUAGGGUUUCAAACGUUAGUGUUGGUCAUGGCCAAAAUUACGGCCCACUGAAAUUAAAUAAAUUGAUAUGAGGUCUGAUCCUUUCACCUUCUGAAAGUUGGAGGUGGAACAGAUUUCAGUGCCUGUUUCAUGGGAUUCUCUGCCCGUUCAGUGCAAAAUAGAGGAGGGCUCUGAUCCCAUGUCCAACACAAAUCAUUUGGUGUAGGAGAUCGGACACUCAGUAGCAGCCAUUAAGUCUAUCCACAUUCGUCUCGGUGUUCCCGUGAUGGUUAUCAGUUAUGGUGGUUGCCUAGUGCUGGUGGUGGUGGCAGCAGCACCAUCAGUAACCGUUACACAGUCGCCAUCAGAGAGGGUGUUGAUAAUGCUGCUGGUAGUUUAGGGCACACGAGCGGUGCAAGGAAGGCAGCAGACCUUCAGCGGUAGUUCUCAAUGAUCGUCUUGAUGUUGGCUAUGGUGAGGCGGACGCGAAGGUGCUCAGGGAUGAUGCAUGAACCGCUGGCUAGGGAGGCGCUCACCAAAGAAGCAGAACAUGGAGACAACAUGCAUAGGCUAGCGCUGCUUGAUGGGCAUACUAAAACAUGUUGAUCCACAACUUGAAUCGGAUGUGUGGGAUGUACAGAAACAGGGUUGGGUACAUGUACAUAUGUGACCUUACACAUAGCCUAGGUAUACACAAACUACUACUGCACGGAUGAACUACAAUGAGACCACAACUACUGAUUUCUCAGAUAUAAACUACAAGAAGAGGACACAUGCAGUGGGCUAGGAGGGGUGUGAUGAAGCCAUUAUAUAGGCAAGAGUUGAAGGACUGGGCGCCUCUACAUGCAAGGGUGCAGAUGCAAAUAUACUAUUCACAUUAAUUGUGACCAACCCCAACCACCAAUUACCUUGGGAGCAACGUGCACACAACCCCAGUCACCUGUUGAUGCAUGGUCGGUGCCUAACUUACAAAGUCUUGUCUGAUGAUAGUAAGGAGGGGAUGGAUUAGUUUACAGACAUGCUCGACUCGUUUUAUCUUAGGCCUUGUUUAGUUCCCAAUUUUUUUUAAGAUUUUUCGUUAUAUUGAAUCUGUAGAAGUAUGUAUAAAGUAUUAAAUAUAGAUAAAAAAUAACUAAUUGCAUGGUUUACUUGUAAUUUGUGAGACGAAUAUUUUGAACCCAAUUAGUCUGUGGUUAGACAAUAAUUAUUAAAUACAAACAAAAAUGCUAUAGUAGCUGAAAGCAAAAAAAAUUAUGAAGGAGAGGCUUAAAUGUGGCCACAUACUGUCGACCAACCCUGCGCAGGUAAAGACCCUAGUCGUGGCAACUACUUUCAAAUAAUCAAAUUUACUGAGUGAAUUUCUGUAUAGCUUAGAAAAACACUAGCGCUCAUGCAUGCAUUGAAAUUUACUAUGUAAUAUCUAUUGAUAAUAAAUUCAUGAAUGUAAAGGAAAAAGGUAUAUGUGAAUAUGUGAUGUCAAUUUCUCUCAUCGUAGUAAUUUUUUGUAUAUAAAGGACACGUGGAAUUUUUAUAUUGUCCUUGCAUGCAUGCAUGCUUAUUUAAUUUUUCAGCCACUUCAUUGAAUGUAUCCACUUACUUCAGCUACCUACGACAGUGGUUGAAUAUAUGGAAAGAUACUGGUUGUGAGACAGUACUUCAUCCGAGUCAUGAAAUUUCUAUCUAACGCACCACCUAAAUGAAGCAUACGUGGACACUCUCGGAGGCCGCCUAGGCGGCGUGGCCUCAUAUCUCUAAUUUUGAUCACAUAUUAGUAGAGUUUCUUUUAGUGUAAAUGCUUACUUGUAUUAUAUAUCCAUAGUUUUUAUAUUCAAAAAUCAGAAACAAUUAACUACAGGUAUUUGCCAUCCUUAGACUAUCUCCAACAAUCGUCACCCAAAAUACAAGACCCAUUUGUCCUUUGGGUAGCGCUACAGGUAAAAGGUUUCAUACCUAUUUUUAGUCUUCUCCAACAACAAGACCUAAAAGACAACACUCUCUGCAAAUGGGUCUCGAGGAGAGAGGAUACCCAAAUUUGGGUUAUGCCUCUCCUGAUACCCAAAAUGAGUCUUCUGUAUGGAUACUCUGUUGGAGGCUAUAGGUAUUGUGUUGGAGACCCAUUUUGAGUUUGGGUUCCCAAAUGGGUCUCCUGUUGUAGAUAGCCUUAUGGGUGAGUGUGAGUCCCCGUAGUAGAUACUUUUUUUGAUGAAAAAAGAAUUAUAUUAAAUUAUACCUGGAUAUAUGAACACGUUACAAGCACUCUGGAUUACAUAUAUUUAGAAAAUGAUUUUCAUCUAAAUUGUACCCAUACUAUGAAUAGCUGUGGAUCUCAAAACUAAACUUAUAUGACACUUUGCAGUAUGGAUGACUCUAUAGACAAACACUCGGCAAAAGGCCUGAGAACUAAUUGCCAUUGAUGUACAGUUGCAAAAAAGGAAAAAGAAAUCAAAUGCAUGCCCCCUGGUUUUAUCGACAGAUCAGCAAAAGAACUUAACUUACCUCAAUCUUUAAUUCCUCACGUCUCAAAUGCACCAAUUGAAAUCGACCUAAAUCAAGCCGUAUCUUAUCUCAAAGACUAAACAAACGUGAAUGUGUGUCCAAAUCUGUGCGACAUUGAAAUGUUGAUGGCGGAUCAGCGACUGAUCGAAGUGAGACUUGUAAAUCUUGUACUUAUCCUCGCAAAAGGAAAGUGCAUGUGAAAUUGUAAAUCUUAUAUUCAUACAAUAUGCGGGGUCAACACUGAGGAGGUUCAGUUGUUGCAACAGCAUUUGAAAACGGACACACGCGAACUCCAGCAGAAUGUUUCCAUGGAUCCUGCGUUGGCAGGAAACUAGUGGCCUAGCCCUUGACGACGUACAUAUAUAUGGGAUAGCGUCAGUAUCAACCAAAGAAGUAUAUAGACAUACCAGUUGAUGACCAGAGAUCGCCCAGUUGAGCCUAUUCGUUUGUCUAAAAAGCUAUGUCUGAAAGUACUGUUCGCUGAUUUAUUAUAAAAAAAUAUUAUUGAAUGACUGACAGAUUCGGCAGAUAAAUUCAAAUAAAUAGGCCUAGCGUCCAUGGUAACAGAACUCACAUAGGAAAGUGACGAAUCGUGAAGUUGUUGGAUCUGUGGAGUGGUGCUUCAAUUGUAGUUUUAACAAUAAGCUCGCGGAUUACGUGUCUCUCUUUAAUUUGAAUAAUAAAUAACUAGUAGUAUUUCUUAAAAUUAACUGCUGCAUGCCUCUCAUGAGCUAGUGUUAGAAGAACUUCUUGCUUAUAAGUCGAUAAAUUGUGAAGCCGACCGCUGGAUCAUUUGCUGAUAGGUGAUUAAACAUUUAGACGUACUUGGAUAUAAGCUCGUGGUCUGUGGAUAAGGCGCUGUUUGCGUUGCUCAUGACUCUGCAGAUUAACUAGCUGCAUACAUGUCAUGAGCAUGGGGAGAAAUAAUCUCACAGUUUCUUCCCAAUGCAAGCUGACAAUGACAACUAGUAAUUGAUUAUAAUUUGACGCUGCAGAAUGCAUGAUUAUUUUCUCGAUCGGGUGUUUAACCCGUAUUUCAUUAAGAGGAGCGUAACCACAUGUUACAGAGGUUUAAGGUAUUGGCGAGCAGCCAAUAGGCUAAACACCUAGUUACAAGACCCAAGCGAACUAAUUACAGAACGAAGACAAGACGCGACCAAGCCUGCGAAACCUCGAAGAGCGAAGAGUACCCCGCCUGUGCCCAAUCUUCUGCUUCACGAGUGGUGUCAACACACAAACUGAUCAGAUCGGGUGCCGCCCGCCGACCAAAAACCAGGUCAUUCCUAUGCUUCCAAAGAUUCCAUGCAACUAACAGGAAGAUCGAGUCAGCGGACGGCCUUGAUUCCUUGUCCACCCUCUUGCGCUGGCGCAGCCACCAAGUAGCUAGGUCCUCCUCUUGAUCAGGAACCAGCGCCCCUAAGUCUAUCGGAGAGAGCAACGCAUGCCACAGCCGUCUCGCAAGCGUGCAAUCCAGGAACAGAUGGCCGAGGGACUCCGGCGCCUGCGCACAGAGGGCACAGUCAUCCGUGUCCUGCAGUCCGUGACGUUUACGCCUCGCCGAAGUCCACAACCUUUUGUGCAGGGCCAGCCACCCAAAGAACUUCACCUUCGGUGGCACCCGCGCGCGCCACAGCUCCCUUGCUCCCAGCAGAGAGGUGGACCCUGAGAAGAAAGCUCGGUAUGUCGACGAUGCCGAGUAUCGACCAUCAGUAGACCAUUUCCAGACAAAGCGAUCGGCUUGGAGUGGAUCUAGAGUGACGCUGCGAGUUAGCUCCCAGACUCGCAAGAACUGGCAGAUAACCUGUACCGUGGUCGCACCAACGAUGUCCUUGGCCCAGCGGUUGUUCUAGGUAGCGUCGAACAACGACCUUCGACGGCCCUGUUUAGAAAUUGCUACAAACAAAUGCGGCGCAAAAGUUGCUAACGAUCCGACGGGCGACCAAGUGUCGGUCCAGAACAAGGCCGAUACACCAUCUCCCGGCACCACUGAUAUGCUGAUGUCUGCCAUUGCCUUCACCGCGCGCUCGCUGCGCCCCGGGAGAGCAGCCCAGGACCGGCGAGGCUCUGUUCGGCGAAGCCACUCCCAACGCAGCCUUAGUGCGAAGCCAAAGAAGCGAAGAUCAGCAAUACCGAGUCCGCCGAGAUCCGUUGGCCUGCAGACUCGGGGCCACGCGACCUUGCAACGACCACCCGAGACAGCAUCUGCGCCAACCCAAAUGAAAGCCCUUCUUCGUCUGUCAAUCUGCUUGAUCGCCCAAUCCGAGAGGCAGCACGCGAUGCUGAUAUGAACUGGAAUAGCAUAUAGGGUCACUUUGGUUAGCACCACGCGGCCGGCGGCGGUGAGCAGACCUGCCUUCCAAAUCGGUAUAUGCGCUGUAACCGAGUCCACAAGUUUCUGCUCUUCCCUCCUGUGCAGUCGCUGCAGAGCUAACGGGAUUCUCAGGUACCUGCACGGGAACGCAGCUAAAGUGCAAGGGAACGCGGCCUGUGCAGCGGCGACCAUGUCAUCAUCACAUCUGAUGGGUGACAUAACACACUUGUCUAAAUUGGUUAACAGUCCUGACGCCCCGGCGAAGAGGUCUAGCAGCUGCCUCAAACAGAUUAAGUCGGUGGCCUUGGGUGCCACUAGCACAACGAGAUCGUCAGCGUAGAGGGAAGCACGAUGUGCAAUGACUUGAUCGGGCAGGGCUGAAAGAAUUCUUCUUUGAUCAGCCGCUUUGAUGAGCGAGUUGAGCACCUCCAUGACUAGAACGAAAAGCAUCGGAGAUAUAGGGUCCCCCUGCCUGAGGCCUCUUGCAUGGGCUAUCCGCCUCCCAGUUGUGCCAUUGAGCAGCACCUUGGUGCUAGCCGUGGAGAGCAGCACAGCUAUCCAGUUGGUCCACCUCCGAGGGAAGCCAAUGUGGUGCAAGACUUCGAGGAGGAACGGCCAGGACACGGAGUCAAAUGCUUUGGCAAUGUCGAUCUUCAACAACAAGGACGACUGACGUUUACAGUGCAGCCAACGACAUGCCAUUUGUACAGCCCGAAAGUUGUCAUGGAUCGACCUUCCUCUGAUGAACGCGCUUUGGUUUAUUGCGACCAUUUCCUGCAGCCUGGGCGCCAGCCUCCUGGCCAGGCCCUUAGUAAACAGUUUGCUGAAGCUAUGUAUCAGGCUUAUCGGCCUGUAGUCCUUCAAAUGCGUGGGGUUUUCUUUUUUGCGCAGCAGUAUCAUGACUGCCUCGUUUAACAGGUGGAAGCUGCGCGUGUCAAGCGACCAUAUGGCGUUGAAGGCACGCACUACGUCAGCCUUGAUCGUCUCCCGAGCGACCUUGUAGAACCGACCGGUGAAGCCGUCCGGUCCCGGCACCCGGUCUGAAGACAUCUCUUUUACUGUUGCCCAGAUUUCGUCUUCGGAGAAGCACGCGUCAAUUCCGGAGAGAAGAAUGCAUGAUUAUUGAUCUAUAUAUACUUUGUUAUAUGUAUACUUGUUCUUAAUACCUACAGCUACAGGUGUAUACACUGGUGCACAAAAUUUAAAUACAUACAUUUGUUGUUUUCAACAAGUCCGUGCCUAGCUCUGAUCGAUGAUCUGUGGUAGGCAGUUGUCAAGCUGUGAUGGCUUUCUCAAGUACAGUAAGGACGUGCUUGUUUCAGUUUUGGGUUGUGAAAAAAGAACUUAUAUAUCACGGACCAUGCAAAGCUAGAUGGUGAAGUUGAGGGUCAAAAGGUGAAAGAAAAACUCCUUCCAUUCUGUAUUAUAAGUUAUUUCAAAUUAUAAGUUUUUCUAGUUUUUUCAAAACAUAUAAAGUUUGACUAAAAUAUAGAGAUAAUUACAAAAAUUUAUGAUUAUAGUACUAUACUGUUAUAAUGUAAUUAAUAGAGAAUCUAGUGAUACAUAUUUGAUAUUAUAAAUUUUAUUAUUUAUUAUAUAUAUUUGGUCGAAUUUGAGAUAUUUUAAUUUUUCAAAAAAGUUGAAAUGACUUAUAAUUUGGAAUAGAGGAAGUAGAUUGUAUUUAUUACCUAUUUUGCUAGAUUGUCCGGCCGUCUUUGUGGGGGUACCUUUAAGACAACAUAUAUCAAAAGUUGGGAAGACAAGUAGAAAGUGGAUUGUCAGAUUGCGAAUUGAAAUCUGGUUAAGAUGGAUCAUGUUUUCAAUUCAGUGUUCAAUUCUUUUGGCUACUCCAAAAAAUUAUGGAAAUUCAUAAAAGUUCACCAAAAUUUGCUGAAAUUGAACAAAGGAUAUGAUACUAAAAAAGACCCAAACAAAAUAUUAGCAUGCUUUAUGACCACACAUCUAUUGAGUAGAAAAAUAUGCAACAUAAAUAAUAUAAAAUGUGGGUAUAAGUUAUGUUUUUAGAAUAAAGCACAUGCAUUAAUGUAAUACAAAAUUUCGUAUGUUUUCAGCAACCCCAAAAUUACUGAAAUUAAUGCAUCUUCCUUUUGACAAAUUUUUAAAUCCUGAUAUGGAUCCGGGUUCAAUAUUUCGGCUAUAUUGAAUCCGGGGCUUUCAGGAGAUGAAUGAAACAAAAAUAUUUAUCCGAAUAUCAUUCUUAUUUGAGCUUAGCACUGGUUUAAUUGGAAGUCCAUGUCCAUCGAUGAAUCACAUCAGAAUCCCUAGCAUCGUGCUAAGCUCCAUUCUCGUGCUGGAGUUAGGUAGAUCGAUUUCUAGCAUUUAUGUUUUUUUUCUCAAUAAAUUGGAGAUUUACAUGUGGGUCCCAUAUAAUUGUUUAACCCUAAUUGGAAACCGGAUUCUGAGUAAUUCGUGGAGUGUUCCUUAGCUGCAUCGUGGAAUAUGGGGGAUCAAAAUUUGCCUUCUACUUCCAGUUUUUUUUUAUUGUUAAAAAAAACCCUAAACCACGGUUGAAGUUUGAAUCAAACAUACCCUAAAACUUAUAAAAAAAACUGAUGAUAACUACGCAAGAUUUGAAAUAAACUGCAUGCUCAUUAUCCGGUCCUGUACCAAGUGCCAACUGAUACAGAACAGAACUGCAGAUAACUGUAUCGCAGUUGGCCUCGCCUGAAGAUGCAGCAACAGGCAAACCUCUCAGUACUACCUACUUAGCCUGAUAGCGACUGAAGUGAGACUUGUAAAUCUUAUACAUAUCCUCGCAAAAGGAAAAUGAAUGUAAAAAUGUAAACCUUAGUCAAUAGUCAUAGAAUAUGCGGGGUCAACACUGGUGAGGUUCAGACGACGUUCAGUUGCAACAGCAUCUGAAACAGACACGCGAACUCCAGCAUGCAGAAUCCGUUCCAUGGAUCAUCCUUCCUGCGUCAACUGGCAGGAAACUAAUGGCCAACGUAGCCUCUUGAUUUAGCCUUCUCGCUUGUCUUAAACCGUUUUUUUUCUGCUAGAAAAUAGUAUUUUUUUCCUAAUAAAUAUUUUCAACCAUAACUUUUUAUAUCAGUGAACAGGAUAGCGUCCGCGUGGUACGGAACUCUCACAGCAACGUAGAAAUAAAUCGGAUCGGAAAUAUGUACUUAUAGUACUGAAGCUAGAUACAUAUACAUAGUAUAUACGUAAUGACGCAAACUCAAUCAUUCACAGAUUUUUGACAGUGUACUAACGCCUAUCCUUCUUGAAAUUUCAUGGAGUACGUAUCCUGAACUACCCGCUUACUUAAUUUGUAGUUUCGUGACUUUUCGUGAGGCAUGCAUAUGGUGGAAAUAAUGGACAUGUGCAAUGUAUUAAUCUAGAGACCAGAAAUGUGGCAGUCUUAUGGAAUAAAUUUUCUGCCAUUGUCGGCUACAAAAGUGGAUCGGAGCUAUUUUCCAGUAUUUAUGGAUAAUAUACAGACAUAGCCAAACACGCUACUAUACAUCAUGUCCACACGAAGAACAAAUAAAAGUUGCAAACGCAGCAUGCGUGCUUGCAAAUCCUAACAAGGAAACACAGCAGAAUACUACUGUCGUCUGUUGAGAUCGACACCUAGGAAUGGUUGGAGAUAUCGAGACACACACACACACAAGUGGAAGGGAAAGCGACGAAUCGUGAAGUUGUUGGAUCUGCUGACUGGCGCUUCAACUGUAGUUAACAAUAAGCUCGCGGAUUAGGUGUGUCUCUUUGAUUAAUACUAAAUAACUGCUGCAUGCCUCUCAUGAGCUAGUAGUGUAUAGAAGAACUUUCGCGUAAGACGACAAAAUUGUGAAGCCGACCACUGGAUCAUUUGCUGAUCUCGGUACGUGAUGAAACUUAGAAGUUGCGUUGCUCAUAACUCUGACUAGCUGCAUGCAUGAGCAUGCAUGGGGAGAAAAUAAUCUCAGUGUCUUCCAAUGCAAGUUGACAACUGGUAAUUGAUUAUAGUUAGACGAUGCAGAAUGCAUGAUUAUUGGUGUAUAUAUACUUGUUCUAGCUUAAUACCUGCAGCUACAGGUGUAUACACUGUUGCUCAACAUUUGUAAAUACGUACACUUGUUGCUUUCAACAAGUCGUUGCCUAACUCUGAUCGAUGAUCUGUGGCAUUCAGUGGAGUACGUCCAUUGGCAGUUGUCAAGUUGUGAUGGCCUUCUCAGUUACAGUAAACGACGUGUUUGUUUCAGUCUUGGAUUAUGAAAAAGCGGCCUUGUUUAGUUCCCAAAAUAUUUUGCAAAAUUUUUUACAUUCCUCAUCCCAUCGAAUCUUACGGCACAUGCAUGAAGCACUAAAUAUAAAUAAAAGAAAUAACUAAUUACACAGUUUACUUGUAAUUUACGAGACGAAUCUUUUGAGCCUAGUUAGUCUAUAAUUGGACAAUAUUUGUCAAAUACAAACGAAAGUGCUACUAUUUCUAUUUUGCAAAAAAAAAUUGGAAGUAAACAAGGCUACAUAUAUCAUGGUCCAGGGAAAGCUCAAUUUAAUAUAUUCAAAGCAUCUCAACUUUCUUGGGUUUGCAAAGGAACAAACAAGGAAGGGCCAUGCGCCCACUCAUGUGUCUCUCGUGAUUUGAGGAUUAAGUUUUUUUUUUCUUUUUUUUCUAUGUUAAUUACUUAAUUGAUUGAUUAAAAAUUUUUAAAAACAAUGGCUCAGAUUUAUUUGUUUGAGGUUACCUCCUAAUAAUAAGUAAAGCUGGUUUCUUCGAGAGGAGCAAAGAAAGCUGCUCAUCAUCUGGUGGUCCUGUAUCCUACCCGGCUACCCCUUUCCCUUUGACCAUAGUGCCAAACUGAUCAUCCUGAAGAUGCGGCAACAGGCAAACCUCAGUGUACGUACGUAUGUAGCUGGUUCAGUCCUUGACGACUGUAGCCGAUGAUUGGUGGCGUCCCAAGGCAAGGAGUCGGAAGCACAAGUAAAACGGAGACACAAACUCGAGAGGCAGUAGUUGCGUGCUGUCUAGCUCACCGAGCUAGUACGGUCGAACGAAGCACACUCAUUGAAAUCAAAUCAAAGAAGACACCAAGUUGCAGAUUUCCUCGGUUCGUUUCCAUUCCACUUUCGUUUGUUUGUGACAAAUAUUAUCCAAUUACGGACUAACUAGGAUCAAAAGAUUCAUCUCGUGAUUUACAACUGAACUGUGUAAUUAGUUUUUGUUUUCGUCUAUAUUUAAUGUUUCAUGCAUGUGCCAUAAGAUUCGAUGUGACGGAGAAUCUUGAAAACUUUUUGGUUUUCAGGAUGAACUAAACAAGUCCCGAACUUUUUAGUCCUGCUAUACGUGCUCAAAACCAUCAAUUAUUGGCGACGAUCUCCGCCGCCCCUGCGGCGAUGUGUGACGCUGCACUGCACGCCGCACCAAACUGCAUUCAUCGACGGCCGGGACUCUGCUGGAUAGGAGCAGCAUUGCCUUGCCUUGCCUCCAAAACCAGCUGCAACGACUCCCAUCUCAUCAGCGUGGACAAGCAGGGAUCACCGGAUCAGUACGAUCGGCGCCUAUUGAAGCUCUCAUGGCCCAUAUCGGGUGCCACUUUGCUUCUUCCAUCUGACUUCUUGCGUGCAUUGUGUUCCUGUUCCCCGCGGUCGUUGUGUUGCCGGGUCGUGAAGCAUCCAAGUUUCUGUAAGUUACUGCACAGCUUCAUAUGAAAAUGGCAGUGCAUCAAACGGUAGCCGUGCCCACAUCCACAUGAUAUACUGAUAAUUAACAAGGAUACUUACUUUACUGGCUUCAUAAAGCAAAAAAAAGUCAUUAUAGGGAAAAAAACACAAGUGUAAUUAAAAUCUACAUCAGCUCUAGAGCCUAGAGGCAUGCAUGUAUAUGACAACAGAGAAAUGAACUUGUUCGAUAAUCGAUAUCAGGAUCCAGACGAGUCCAUAUCUCGCUUUCCCCUCGGCAGUUUGUCUAUAACAUAAUUAGCAGCGGAACAGGACGGCUGGGUUGGUAAGUAACAACUGCAUAUGACGCUGACCGCCUGCAGUACCACUCGGACUUUCCAACUGCAGUCCAGUCUCCCACCUAAACACUCCCUAUAUUAUCAAUAUAUGAGUUGUUAACAAGAAUUGCAGCCACGCAUGCUGGAUGUUCUAUUGCUAGGAGAACGUACGUACGAUCGAGCGCCAUUUCAUUUGCAUCCACCAUAUAUUCCUGUUUUAGGAGUGGUCUAGACGUAACGCACAGUUGCAGCAGCGAAGCCUGCAGAUUGUUUGCUACGUGAAGGCAGGACAUGACUGGACCGAGGCUCUGCAUCUCAAUUCUCAAGUCAGCAAAGUUGUUUGGUUUAAUUUGUUUUUUUUUCAUACUGGAAACUGAUCUAAUGGACCAUAUACUGAUACUGCAUGCGAUUUGGAAGAGCAGACGUGACUACUAGGAAUCUGUUUAUCUUCUCAACUACUCCUGUAUAUAUACUGUAUUUCAUCUUAGCGUACGUAAGAGCCGUCAUUACCAAAUAAACUACGACAGUUCUCUCUGAGACAUCUAUACUAGAAUGGCCAAUGCGUGCAUGAGAUGGUUUUGAGUUCUUCGUCUUUAAUAUAUAUAUAAAAAAACUGCCCUGAAGUCCUGAACUAUAUAUUACUCUGUAAUAGACCACCUAGCAGUAUUUCUUAGUCGUCAUGCGCAGAACGUUUACGGUGAACAAAGGCUCAUUAUACUAGCAGUAAUCUUAAUUUGAAACGGACAGUGGUUCAACAUCAAGUUGUUGUUGAACACGACACAGUAGAGAUCGAAUGAGUGACUGCUGCUUCCAAUCACUGGCCAGUGAUUCUACCAGUUCCAAUAUAAUAUAUACUACUCGUGCAGUCUUUGCUUUGUCCAUGUCAAAUAAAACUAUUUUCACCUUUGUCAAUAUAACUACUACCCUUUUUUUUAACAAUGCUUGGCGUACUUAUUACAAAAGUACCGGGUGGUAUGUACCUCUCACCGUACGUGUCACAGAGAACAGCGACCAGGUACGAGCCAGACAGUUCAGUUUUACCAGUCGGCAAAAAAAUUUGAACGACUUUUGCCUGCAUUUUGGACGAGGACACGGCGACCAAGAAGAUUAUUCCCAGAAAGUAACACAACUGUUUACUUACGGUUACGUGACUUCCGUUAAACCAAAGGCUAGAAGCUGUCCGCUAUGCAAGGCAAACGUGGCUGCCUCUUACUACCCUGGUAAUAAAUAAUUCAAAGCACUAAUAGCAGUUUCCUGUACUGAGUGGUAGGUCGUUUUUAUCAUGGAAAGGAUCGGACUUAAUUAUUGUAUUUGGAUUUAAAGAACGACGAACGCAAAAAGUCUCUUUGCUCCGUCGUCAGGCUGAUCGAUAUGUAUUGUGCUCUGAUUGUAGUCGGUGUUGGGAAGGUGCUCUCCGCACUCCCCAGCAGUACGGUGAAUGGUGAACCUUCUCACUCGGUGCCGUGAGAGGUCUGAGCUCCAACAGGCAAUAGGCUCAACAGUAGGUGAAUACAGUGAAUGCUCUCCCCUUUAUUAAUGGCGGCAUCACGCCCCUUAUAUAGGGCCCGGAAACCGACCCAACGACAUUUACAUAAAUGCCCCGUGACGGUGGGGGAAUAUUCCAGCAUAUUCUUUCAUCGCAGUCUACUGACUCCAAUACACCCGCGUAAUUUCACAUUGCGAACCCUUCGUUCAUCCUUUGACUGGGGCCUCAGCAGGUCGGAGGCUCGGAUCCUCCGCCCAGUUGCGGAUCCUCCGACGCUUUGGUGUCGGAGGUUCCGCAGCCCGGCUGGUCGGAGGUUGCUUCACCCGGCCACCCCGGGAGUUCCUCCUUGGCCUGGUCCAGUCGGAGGUUCCUUGGCCUGGCUACGUUCUCCCGCCAUCCUCGGCCCCGGGAGGGUCGGAGGUUCCAACCUUUCCUCACUCGUGGACCUCCGCCGGUGCUUCAGUCCCUGCACACACUUUGCACGACCAGACGAGUCGUCAACAUUAGCAUUUCCCGUCGAAGGAUAUCCUCCGACGUUCCAGGCGUCGGAGGUUCCUCAGGUGAAGGAUAACCUCCGGCGCUACCAGGGGGAAGGAUGCAGCUUUUCCCCAACAGUUCCCCCCUUUUUGGGCUAAUGGCACUCCUGCGGUCCAUGUGCUCAAAAACAUGCUACGCUGCGGAGAUUAUGAGCAUGGUUGCUGCCUUCCCCCCUGGUGCGCAGGAUGUGGUUGUUAGCAAAUGUUGGAUAACUGUUUCUUUUACUUAGUCGUAAUUUUUCUUGUUUCUUUAUUUUGCCGGGAUCCUCCGAUCAUUGCUGCUAUAUUAGUCUGGUAUCCUACGCGCGUUAGAUUGCGGAGGAUUGCGGAGGAUUUUAUUGCCGUUGGAGUUAGCCGUUGGCAUUGACGAAGCGCAACGGUUUGGGCGAUUCCUCCGCUUAUAGCCGUUGGGCGCGGGGAAUCGCAACGGCCGCGCGAUCGCAGGCCCCCCCCUAUAAAAGGGGAUGCUGGGGAGCCUUGAGCUCUCACCCCUGCUGCUCAUUGCCUGCACACCUUCCUUCGCUACGUCUUUCUCUCUGAGCUGCUUGCGUGCGUUUCUGUUUAGUUCUAGUGUUGUCGGAGGUUUUACGGUGGCUCAGCUUCCUUCACCGCGUCCUUCGAGGUCAGAUUUUUCUGGUCCUUUGCGCGGUUUCCUUAGUGUGAGGUCUGGAGGUUGGCUGCGGAGGUUUGAGGAGUGGAUGCUUGAGGUGGCUGCAGCUCGAGAUCUGGAGGAGACGUUGUCUGACGUCGAAGCUUCUGUCGGUGAUUUGAUCAGUGCGAAGGAGUUUGAGGAGAUGGCGGCGAUUACUUUUGAGUUCGGGCAGUCGACUGUGAGGACGGAGGAUAUCGCUGACAUGGUUGAGGCUAGGUUUUUCAAGGAAGGUCGGGCGGAGGCUCCUCCUGCGGGUCAAACGGUGCCUGCGCCUGGUGAAGGUUAUGCUGUUGUUUUUAGGGAUUUCUUCACCUGCGGGCUUCGGAUGCCUCCAUAUCAUUUCCUUCGCGAAGUGAUGGAGAGCUUCAAUGUGGAGCUGCAACACUUCAGUCCCAAUGGGAUACUAACACUUAGCAAAUUCGCCUGGGCGUGUGAAUCCUACGGAGCCAUGCCCCACAUUGAUACUUUCUGCUCGUAUUUUGAGCUUCAGCGUCAACCUAAGAAGGUGAAGGAUGCCGAAGGUGUUGAGUGCAUUGCGCAGUUUGGAAGCUGCGCGUUCAUGCCGCGCCGCACCAUGCCUGGGCCAAGGUGCGAGAUCUCCUACUGCCAAAAGGGGAAGUGGGAGAAGGAUUGGAUGAGAGCUUGGUUCUACGUGAGGACCCCCGCUGCGUCGAAGACUUUAGAUGACGGCAGCGUUGAUAAAGUUUAUCCUUACGCGUCGCUGAUGAAGGAGCUGAAGCCUUUCUCGAAGGUUGAUCCUUCGCAGGAGAUGUCGGAGGAGCGACUUGCUUGUGAUAAGGCAUUUGCGCUGGCAUGCCGAUAUUCCGGGGGCCGGGAUUUGGUUGAGGAGAUGGUCGCUGCUGACUACUGGCCCCUUGGCCGCAGGACCGAUGAGUUCACCAUUGAGAUGGUGCAAGUUCCUGUUUUUGGUCCUCCGGAGGGGUUGCCGUUUCCCCGGUUCGGCGCAGGUAUUCCGGAGGAUGAGACCAAGGAGUCCUUCCUUGAUCGUGUGGAGGUUUCUGCCCGGAGGAUCGUCGGGAAGAUCUCGGAGAAGGAGUAUCUCCAGCGGAGGUCUGCGCUUGGGACGAUGCCCCGGUUCAACCGCGUUUUUGAGGAAUUGGGGAUCGAGUAUGAGGAUUAUGUUAUUCCUCCGGAUGUUUUGCUUGGGUUGGAGAAGAAGAAGGACUCCUCGAAGGCUGUUGCUUUGGCGGAGUCGAAGAAGAGGAAAGGGGGCGGCGCAGUCAAGCAACUUGCGAAGAAGCGGAGGGCGGAGGUUGUGCUAGAAACUCCUGUGGAGUCUUCCUCCGCCCGCUCAUCUGGUGCCGAGUCAAACUCGGUAGCUUCUGCACCUGCGGAGGCCGCUGCUGCUGGUGGAGCUCCUGAAGUUGAAGCUUCGCGUGCGGUCUCCUCUGUGCGCGCGCCUUUCGCGUCUCUUCUUGGGGAGGAGUCUUCCGACGCGGAGGCCCCUGAGGCGAGCCCUGCGCGGGAGGCGAAUCCUGCAGCGUCUGAGGGUCCGCGCGUUGCUUCAGUUGGCGGAGGGUCUCCGCCUAAGGAGGUUCAGGUGGAGUCCAGCGACGAAGCUGAGUCCGCCUCCGUUCGGAGGAUCAGGAGGGCGGAGGCUCCCCUUCGUCCGGCUGGUGACGGUAUUAAUUCGUUGUACAUGGGUAAUGAUUUUUUGUUGAUUAUUUUGUUUUUAUGCAAGUUUUGAUUGACUUGUUCUCAUGUUUUUGGUUUAUCUUUCAGCGGAUGUUUUUGCUGGGCUGGCUACCGCGGAGGAGAUGGCUAAAGGCGCCAGCGUUGCGCAGGAAGGGCUUGUCGUUCCUCCGCCGCGUGAGCCUGCGCCUUCUGCGUUGGCCAACAGGCCUUCGCCUGCUGAUGUUCUUGGUCCUGGUGAGUUUCUUCUUUUUGGUUCAACAGUUUGGUUUGUUUUUGGCAUUUUAUUCUAAGGUUUGUUUUUGUUAUGUGCAGGUGCUUCUGAACCUUCGAUCACAGGUUGGACUGAUGCCUUGCGCGAGGUUCAUUCCUUGGUCGGAGGUUAGUGUUCUGGCCUCCGCCGAAGGUUUUUUUUUCUUACGGUGGUUUUUCUUAAUUGUUUUUGGUUUACAGAUCGUUUUCGUCAGAAGCUUCGCGGCAUGGACUUUGACACGCUCCUUCGCGUGCAAUAUGAGCACCAUAGCCUUGUAUGUUUGUGCUUUGUUAUGUCUUCCUUCGCGGUUUUUCACUCGGAGGUUUGUUGUAACUAUUUAUUUUUGAGCAGGGUCAUCACAUGGCUGCCGCCUUAGAGGAGCGUUGCUCCCGGGAGGUUAUCUGCCGUGAUGAGGCGAUUGGUGCUCUGAAGAAGGAGAACGAGACCUUGGAGGCUGAGAAGGCUCGUCUGUCGGAGGAGGUUAAGGAGUUUUCCUCCGUCAGGAGGGAGGUUGACUCCCUGAAAAAGGAGAGGGAUGACUACAAGGCUGGGUCGGAGGCUCUGAAGAAGGAGAAAGAGGAUGCCGAAGCUUCGGUGGCGGUCCUCCGCACAAGUGUUGCUGAGGCGGGGAGAGUUAGGGACGUAGCCCUGCAGCGAGCUGAGAAGGCGGAGGACAUUGCUGAACGCCUUCGCAAAGAGCUUGACGCUGAGCGGACGUCUGCAGCUGAGCUGCAGACUCGCAUACAGAAGGCGGAAGCGGAGGCUGCAGCUAUUGUCGGGCUCUAUGCCGACUCGCUUGCGAAGUUUGGGGGAAGCACCUCUGCUCCUCCGCCCGGCGGCGAUGUUGGGGCUGCCCUCGCGUGGCUGAAGUCUCAUAUCCGCAUGCUCCCCGACUUUGUCGGAGGUGCUGUUGAUUUUGGGGCUUUGGCUGCGGUUAGCUCCUUCGCUAGGCUUUUGCGCCGCGGAGGUUGCUCUCACGCGGAGGGAGUCGCCAAGGAGGAAUUUGCCGCGGCGGAGGACGUUGGCGAAGGGACCCCUUCCCUGCGCAAAUCUGUCCGGAACUUUAUCAGUUCGUUCUGGAUUAGGUUUGGGCGGGAUGAGGCGAAGAAAAUGGCGGAGGAUCGUCGAGCUGAGGUUUGUAUUAUUUGGUUAUUUCUUUUUGUAUUUUGCUUCGCUGCUUUGCAAUGUUACUUAAGAUGGGUAUUUUGUAGGAGAUUGCGAAGAAGAAGGCUAAGGUUGUCAAGGCCGGUCCUUCGCGUCCACCGAGGGAGGCGUGUCCUCCGACCCAGGCUGAAGCGGAGGCUCGUGAUACUGGUGCCAAAGCUCCGGAGGGAUCUGGUGCCAAGGUUUCAGAGACGCCCGAGGCUUCUGCUCCUCCUCCGCCUCAGGUGUGAGGCUUUUUAGUUUUUAGGUUUUUCUUAGUCUUUUUUGCGUCCAAGCAUGUGACGCUUUUUUGUAAGUAAGGCCGGAGGUUGUGUUUUAUUUUGUAAAGACUGUUGAAAAUAUAAUAUAUUGAGUUGUUUUCAGAUAAGCCUUUGUUUUACACUUUGAUCCUGCGCAGGUCUCUGGCGGAGGACCUGCGCAGGAUCGUUUCAUUACUCCCCUUUCGUUUUUUUACAAAGGGAUUUAUGUUUCUGGCGAAUUGUGGGAGUAUUGGCGAGUUGCCUUCCCUAACAUGAGAUUGGUGGAUAUGUUCGAGUUUGUUGGAUAUGAUAUUGAUGGCGAAGGAUCUGGAUUUAUCCAGUCGCUUGCGCGCCGAGGUUCAUGGCCUCCGGCUUAGGUGGAUGUUUUUGUUUUUCUUUUCGUUUAUCGUAGGUUUUGCUUAUAUUUUUUGACAUGAUUUGAUGUGUUUAUGUAGUUGCCAUAUCCUAUCCUUCGCAUCUUUGGUGAGAGGGAUAGGGUACGCUGGGUGGCGGAGGCUUCUGAGGAUGUUGCUGAGCCUUUUCUUCAAGGUUUUCCGGAGGUUCGUAAGCUUCGUUUGGCUUUUUAGUUUUAUCCUUCGUUUGUGAUGGCUUUGAAGUUGUUAUUUUCUGCGCAGGUUGUGAGUUCCGCUCCGUUGGAAGAUCUUCCUUCGAACUUUGACGAAGGAAGUUACGUUACCCCGGUGACGUUCAAGCGUGGAGAUUUGUACGCGAGGGGUUAUCUAAUUGACUGGUGGCGCCAUAAGUAUCCUACGCGUAGUAUAGAUGACUUAGUUGAUUUCCUUGUUCGUGAUUACUGUGAUGAUCUUAGGCUUUUUCCAGAUUCGUAUGUUAGAAUUGUGCGAGGGUCUUAGAACCUUCGGCGUUUUACGGUCGGAGGAUGUUUUUCAUUUUUUGUUGUAAGCUUGUGUUAUGUACAUUGUAUACGGUUAAUAAAGAUCAGACAUUUUUACUACAUGGUCUUCGCACCUUUUAAUUUUGACAACCUUCGCGCUAUAAUUUGUACAUGACUCAUAGAUCCUUCGGUUGUUUAGUUGAAGGAGGAUUUGUGAGUUGAGCUUGUACAAGCUACCUGUAACCUUCGACUUUUUAUGGGUCGAAGGAUGAUUUUAUUCAUUUUCUGUAAACGAACUUUUGUAAUGAUUUCUUCAUCGAUAAUAAAGUUUUAAAGUUUGCUACAACCUUCGAUCUCAUUUUUAUUACAACCUUCGCGCUACAGCAUUUGUAUAUUGCAACGUCACGGUGGUGUUGAUCCUAAGGAUCUUUGUGUUGCUGUGGCUUGCUUGUUCUUGAUGCUUGAUGUUGCGAAGGAGUUGUUGAUUUUUUCUUGCGCGGAGGAUCGCUGCUUCUUGGCCUUAGAACCUUCGACUUUUUUGGCGCGAAGGAUCCUUCGCUGAAUUGUGCUAUUUUUUCCCUUUGCUCGACUCCCGUGGAGUGUUGUCGAGGAGAACCUUCGGCUGUCUAAGUCGGAGGUUCUGAAGGGAUGUUACGAGACUUCGUGCGAUACCCUUCAGAGACCUCUGAGUCUGACUUCCAUUGUUUCUGUUGUGGCUGUACACGACUUUGUGGUCGAUGUUCAUCACAACGCCGUAGUUCUAGUAUUACGAAGCUACGUGCGAUACAAACUUUUGUUGGUGUUGUGAGGCUAACUCCUGCUUCCAUGGUGGCCUAGGAUUUUGCUUUUUGACUGCUAGGUUUGCACUCGAUGCUCGGGUCUUUGUAUGCUGAUCCUGAUUGAGGGUGGUGGUAGGGUGAGCCUGGUUUUAUAGGCUUUCAUGCAUUUAUUUUAUGUACUCCGUUAGGUCAAAAUUUAUUAUCGGGUUAUUGAUGGUUGUUGUGGUAGUUGGUUUUGUUGUAUCUGACCGAGGGUUAUUGUAGUUUCGUUUUAAUUUCACACUUUGUUUGUUGGGGGUCUGCUUAGAGUAGCAGGAUACCUUCGACCUUAUUUUGGUGAAGGUUAUGUGAAUUUCGUUGGGGUCUGUCCUGUGAAUGUUAAACCUCUGCUGCCUUUUGGCGAAAAUAAUAUGGUUCCUGAUGCAUGAUUCUCCUCAGGUCUUUGUCAGGUUUGAAGGUUUUGCUCCUUCUGGCCAUGUUGUGAUGCCUGAGAAGGACAGGACUUUUUCACUUUUUGGCCGUGUUAUCCUUGCUGCCCGGCUCUUGGCUAGGUCUUUUGCUAAGGAUUUGGUGUUUUUUUUCACCUUUGAGGACGUUCCGAGCUUUCUGAGCUGUUGGAUGAAAGCUGCGGAGGGUCCUUGUGAUCACGUGAUGUUUUGUCGAAUGCUACGGCCUCGUUGCUGGCUGUUUUUCGACUUUUUGGGCUUUGGUUCUGGGGUGGAUUCCUCUUUAUAUUUCAGAGGUUUUUACAUAGGUUCUGCCUCGUUAAAAACCUCACCUCCUGGUAGGAGUACCCCUGUGAGGAAAAGAGUGCAGACCUUGGAAUGCGAAAAAGUAGAGAAAAAGAAAA
RNAcentral lists this long non-coding RNA (42034 nucleotides) under Sorghum bicolor (sorghum). RNAcentral describes it as "long non-coding RNA (SBIC_LNC007444)". Lineage: Eukaryota; Viridiplantae; Streptophyta; Magnoliopsida; Poales; Poaceae. The record is from RNAcentral.